Molecule: ribosomal RNA, 468 nt
Filed under: uncultured bacterium
Lineage: Bacteria
Description: partial 16S ribosomal RNA
Rfam family: Bacterial small subunit ribosomal RNA
Source: RNAcentral
GACGAACGCUGGCGGCGUGCUUAACACAUGCAAGUCGAACGAAAAGGCCCUGCGUUUGUGGGUUGCUCGAGUGGCGAACGGGUGAGUAACACGUGAGUAACCUGCCCUUGUCUUUGGGAUAACUUCUGGGAACUGCGGCUAUUACCGGAUAGGAUCUCCUGCUGCACGUUGGGGGUUGGUAAGAUUCGGCGGUUGGGGAUGGACUCGCAGCUUAUCCGCUAGUUUGUCAGGUAGUGGUUUACCAAGGCUGUGACGGAUAGCCGGCCUGGGAGGGUGAACAGCGACAAUGGGACUGAGGGACGGACCAGUCGGCUACGGGACGCAGUAGUCGAGAACAUGGCGGAACGGGCGGGAGCCUGAUGUAGAGGUGUCGCGUGCGUAAAGAAGGCUUACUGGUUGUAAACCGCUGUCGAAGGAGACGAAGCGUGCGUGACGGUAAUGGGUCAAGAAGCACCGGCUAACUACGUG